GAAUUCACUAGUGAUUAAGUCCUCAUGGCCUUUAUAUCCAGGGCUACACACGUGCUACAAUGGUCCGUACAAAGGGUAGCGAGCCUGCGAGGGUAAGCCAAUCCCGGAAAGCGGAUCUCAGUUCGGAUUGGAGUCUGCAACUCGACUCCAUGAAGUUGGAAUCGCUAGUAAUCGUGGAUCAGCAUGCCACGGUGAAUACGUUCCCGGGCCUUGUACACACCGCCCGUCACACCAUGAGAGUUGGUUGUACCAGAAGUCGUCGGACCAACCCCGCCUUGGCGGGGGGGUAGGCGCCUAAGGUAUGGCUGAUGAUUGGGGUGAAGUCGUAACAAGGUAACCGUA
Molecule: ribosomal RNA, 342 nt
Filed under: uncultured bacterium
Lineage: Bacteria
Description: bacterial SSU rRNA
Rfam family: Bacterial small subunit ribosomal RNA
Source: RNAcentral